UACCCGCUGACGAGCGGCGGACGGGUGAGUAAUGCAUAGGAAUCUGCCCGAUAGUGGGGGAUAACCUGGGGAAACCCAGGCUAAUACCGCAUACGUCCUACGGGAGAAAGGGGGCUCCGGCUCCCGCUAUUGGAUGAGCCUAUGUCGGAUUAGCUAGUUGGUAAGGUAAUGGCUUACCAAGGCAACGAUCCGUAGCUGGUCUGAGAGGAUGAUCAGCCACAUCGGGACUGAGACACGGCCCGAACUCCUACGGGAGGCAGCAGUGGGGAAUAUUGGACAAUGGGGGCAACCCUGAUCCAGCCAUGCCGCGUGUGUGAAGAAGGCCCUCGGGUUGUAAAGCACUUUCAGCGAGGAAGAACGCCUAUCGGUUAAUACCCGGUAGGAAAGACAUCACUCGCAGAAGAAGCACCGGCUAACUCCGUGCCAGCAGCCGCGGUAAUACGGAGGGUGCAAGCGUUAAUCGGAAUUACUGGGCGUAAAGCGCGCGUAGGUGGCUUGAUAAGCCGGUUGUGAAAGCCCCGGGCUCAACCUGGGAACGGCAUCCGGAACUGUCAGGCUAGAGUGCAGGAGAGGAAGGUAGAAUUCCCGGUGUAGCGGUG
RNAcentral lists this ribosomal RNA (599 nucleotides) under Vreelandella titanicae. RNAcentral's name for it is "bacterial SSU rRNA". It matches the Rfam family "Bacterial small subunit ribosomal RNA", at positions 81 to 683 of the family's 1533-position model. Lineage: Bacteria; Pseudomonadati; Pseudomonadota; Gammaproteobacteria; Oceanospirillales; Halomonadaceae. The record is from RNAcentral.